CUGAUAUCCCACAAAUAAACCUCAGUUUACUCAUACACUCAGUUGGUAGAAACAUUGAAAUUCACCGGGCAUGUUUCAUGUCGUACACAGAGAUGUACACUCAGGAGAUCACUAAAACUAUGUACCGAAGAAGAGAAGCUGUUCAAACUGGGUUUUUUUUAGAUCAGCUUUUUACAUUUGCCAAAUACAGAAAAAGAUGCAAAAAAACACCCCAAAACAAUGGAAUAUGGAAUCUGUCACAUGCAAUAUUUUUUUUAAUUACUUUUUCACUUUACUUUUAUUUAUUUAUAUUUUAGCCAGCUCAUUUAUCUAACUGAUUGCCAUUUUGCCAUACGGCACAAAGUUAGAGAACAGGACAUAUAUACAUUUAUACUCAUCUUCUCCCUUAUCUGAAGACAGUACAGCAAACCAAAGAACAAUGUCUAACCAAAGAAAGAAAAACAAUUAUCUAGUUUUACAACCCACAAAUACUGUGAUUGCUUCGGAAAUCAGAAAGCCACGUAGUUUUCAGCUUAUCUUAUACAUUUUUUUUUAUUUUUUUUAUUUGCUGGGAAAGCAAUUAUACAAUGUCUUCGUGGACAUUUCACGCUGCCGGAGGAUUGGCACAGGUAGAAAAUACAGCUGCUAUCCGUCACCAAGGAAACAAUGCUUAUGGUUACUUUAUGUUCCUGCUCACCAGUGAAUGGCCCCUCUUAGAACACUUGAGUCUGUGUUCCAAAGCUACGGCCAAAGGCUAUAAUAACUCUUUAAAGACACUUGAGACCUUUUUUUAUGUACAACUUAAUCGAAACCAAAGAAACUUUUUUUUUUUUUCCGCACCUACUUCUGCAACAAACUGUUGCAUUAAAGAAAAGGAAGCACGUCAGGAAAAAAAAACCAACAAAAACAAACACAUAAAAAAACCAAAAAAAACUACACACUGUGUUUGGACAGACAUCUUAGGAAGCAGAUCUCAAAGAUAGGGUUUGAAAGGGUUAAAAAAGCAAAGUAAAGAAUACAGUACGUGGUUGCUGCUUCAUUUGACAACACACAUAAUUAUCUUAAAGUUGAAGAUUGUCUUUAAUUUGUGCCUAUGCAGUUUUUCAAAGAACAAGGAUUUGGAGCAACGUAAACCUCAACAGCUACAAUACCAAAGAUGAGAAUUUCUCACGUUGUGUUUUUUUAUUUUAGAUCAGCUCAUAGUCUCUCUUCUUGCACAGUUUAAACACGGUAUCACCAUUGAUUUUUGUUACCAAUAAUUCUAUUUCUUUGAACAAAAAAGAUUGGUAGUAUAUCCCUUAUCCGUUACUCCAGUCUUAAGGUGUUGGGAUACUAUACUUAUAGUUAUAUAUGCUCUGUGUUCAGGUGAAAUGCGUCAGGUUUCUUCUUGAAAAUUAUAGUUGUUUCUUGCUCA
Non-coding RNA from Pelobates cultripes (western spadefoot toad), 1393 nucleotides. Lineage: Eukaryota; Metazoa; Chordata; Amphibia; Anura; Pelobatidae. The record is from the annotation of a GenBank genome assembly.